GUAGAAGAUACGGUUUCCCCUUUGGGGCGGGUUCACAGGUGGUGCAUGGUUGUCGUCAGCUCGUGUCGUGAGAUGUUGGGUUAAGUCCCGCAACGAGCGCAACCCUCGUUCCAUGUUGCCAGCACGUAAUGGUGGGGACUCAUGGGAGACUGCCGGGGUCAACUCGGAGGAAGGUGAGGACGACGUCAAAUCAUCAUGCCCCUUAUGUCUUGGGCUUCACGCAUGCUACAAUGGCCGGUACAAUGGGUUGCGAUACUGUGAGGUGGAGCUAAUCCCAAAAAGCCGGUCUCAGUUCGGAUUGGGGUCUGCAACUCGACCCCAUGAAGUCGGAGUCGCUAGUAAUCGCAGAUCAGCAACGCUGCGGUGAAUACGUUCCCGGGCCUUGUACACACCGCCCGUCAAGUCACGAAAGUUGGUAACACCCGAAGCCGGUGGCCUAACCCUUGUGGGGGGAGCCGUCGAAGGUGGGACCAGCGAUUGGGACUUU
RNAcentral lists this ribosomal RNA (487 nucleotides) under Micrococcus sp. NASA2-47. Its description in RNAcentral is "bacterial SSU rRNA". It matches the Rfam family "Bacterial small subunit ribosomal RNA", at positions 1000 to 1484 of the family's 1533-position model. Lineage: Bacteria; Bacillati; Actinomycetota; Actinomycetes; Micrococcales; Micrococcaceae. The record is from RNAcentral.